GUAGUACUUAUUUAAGAAUUUGCUUUAGCUUUUUUUAACUUCAUGGAUUAAUGCUCUUUAUGUUACCCUCCUGUGGGCUAUUUAAGGACUCACCCCUUUAUGUGCUGUUUUCCAUCUUUAUGAAGCCGGAGCUGAAGCUGGCGUGUGAGGGUUUCUCCAUAAAUAUUGCUCGCAUCUACCUGGCCUUGGUGAAGCCCCCAUGAACGUCAUGGUUUGUCUUGAAAAACUGGUGGGUGAAGUGUUGGGCCAUGAAGGCAAACAUC
This is a long non-coding RNA of Monopterus albus (swamp eel), 263 nucleotides long. RefSeq lists it as uncharacterized. The transcript is spliced from 3 exons. The record is from RefSeq and is a predicted model, not a curated record. NCBI's taxonomy places the organism in Eukaryota, Metazoa, Chordata, Actinopteri, Synbranchiformes, Synbranchidae.